UACAUAGGGGGCAAGCGUUAUCCGGAAUUAUUGGGCGUAAAGAGUGCGUAGGCGGAUGAUUAAGUCUGGUGUAAAAUUUCACAGCUUAACUGUGGAGGGUCAUUGGAAACUGGUCAACUAGAGUACGGUAGAGGUAAGCGGAAUUCCAAGUGGAGCGGUAAAAUGCGUAGAUAUUUGGAGGAACACCAGUGGCGAAGGCGACUUACUGGGCCGGGACUGACGCUGAUGCACGAAAGCGUGGGGAGCAAACAGGAUUAGAUACCCUGGUAGUCCACGCCGUAAACGAUGAGCACUAAGUGUCGGAGUAAAAUUCGGUGCUGCAGUUAACACAGUAAGUGCUCCGCCUGGGGAGUACGGUCGCAAGACUGAAACUCAAAGGAAUUGACGGGGACUCGCACAAGCGGUGGAGCAUGCGGUUUAAUUCGAUGCAACGCGAAGAACCUUACCAGGUCUUGACAUACUGUUGCUGGGGUUAGAGAUAAUCCGUUUCUUCGGAACAACAGAUACAGGUGGUGCAUGGUU
Molecule: ribosomal RNA, 522 nt
Filed under: uncultured bacterium
Lineage: Bacteria
Description: bacterial SSU rRNA
Rfam family: Bacterial small subunit ribosomal RNA
Source: RNAcentral